RNAcentral lists this unclassified non-coding RNA (427 nucleotides) under Hevea brasiliensis (rubber tree). The record is from RNAcentral. Lineage: Eukaryota; Viridiplantae; Streptophyta; Magnoliopsida; Malpighiales; Euphorbiaceae.
AUCUCCGAAAUUUCAGAUGAACCAUUGUAAAGAGCCACGAGCUGUGCGGCAAGAUCCAGAUCAUCGGAUGAUGUAUCAAACAUACUUCUUGGCUUCAUCUCCUUAGCUUCAGUCACAUCUCUUUUGUACCGCACAAUAAAUAAUCGAGGCACAUCACUGAGAUCUCUCAUUGGUCCACAAGUUUCAUAGCUAGAUUCAGAGCUAAUGUAAAAGAAACAAUAUUUCUUCUGGGCUUCACCGUCAAGCCAAGUGAAGGACAAACGUUUGCUUUUAAGUGCGACUACAGCUGGAGAUAUCUUUGGGUUUUCAUCGGCUCCAUAAGCUUCACUAUUGCUGGUUAAAGUUUCUUUAACCCUGCGCAUUGUUUCACGCAUUUUGUUGAGUUCUGCACCCAGCCUUCCAGCUACAAUCGCACAGUACCACGUUA